AUCGAGCCUAGAGUCACUAGUCAAUAAUUUCAAUUAUUUUUUAGUGCUACAGGUAACUCGAAGAGUAAAGAAUCAUUUUAUGCCCUAAUUUAAUUUAUUUGAAGUGUAAAUUAGGUACCAAAAUGAUAACAUUU
Small nucleolar RNA from Chrysoperla carnea, 134 nucleotides. RefSeq annotates it as small nucleolar RNA SNORA3/SNORA45 family. The record is from RefSeq and is a predicted model, not a curated record. The transcript has a single exon. Lineage: Eukaryota; Metazoa; Arthropoda; Insecta; Neuroptera; Chrysopidae.